GACGAACGCUGGCGGCGUGCUUAACACAUGCAAGUCGAACGGAAAGGCCCUGCUUUUGUGGGGUGCUCGAGUGGCGAACGGGUGAGUAACACGUGAGUAACCUGCCCUUGACUUUGGGAUAACUUCAGGAAACUGGGGCUAAUACCGGAUAGGAGCUCCUGCUGCAUGGUGGGGGUUGGAAAGUUUCGGCGGUUGGGGAUGGACUCGCGGCUUAUCAGCUUGUUGGUGGGGUAGUGGCUUACCAAGGCUUUGACGGGUAGCCGGCCUGAGAGGGUGACCGGCCACAUUGGGAAUGGGAUACGGCCCAGACUCCUACGGGGGGCAACAGUGGGGAAUAUUGCAACAUGGGCGGAAGCCUGAUGCAGCAACGCCGCGUGCGGGAAGGCGGCCUUCGGGUUGUAAACCGCUUUCGCCUGUGACGGAGCGUGAGUGACGGUAAUGGGUAAAGAAGCACCGGCUAACUACGUG
Molecule: ribosomal RNA, 468 nt
Filed under: uncultured bacterium
Lineage: Bacteria
Description: partial 16S ribosomal RNA
Rfam family: Bacterial small subunit ribosomal RNA
Source: RNAcentral